GUGGGGAAUAUUGCACAAUGGAGGCAACUCUGAUGCAGCGACGCCGCGUGAGCGAAGAAGUAUUUCGGUAUGUAAAGCUCUAUCAGUAGGGAAGAUAAUGACGGUACCUACAGAAGAAGCCCCGGCUAAAUACGUGCCAGCAGCCGCGGUAAUACGUAUGGGGCAAGCGUUAUCCGGAUUUACUGGGUGUAAAGGGAGUGUAGGCGGCAGUACAAGUCAGGAGUGAAAACUUGGGGCUCAACCCCAAGACUGCUUUUGAAACUGUACAGCUAGAGUGUAGGAAGGGCAAGCGGAAUUCCUGGUGUAGCGGUGAAAUGCGUAGAUAUCAGGAAGAACACCGGUGGCGAAGGCGGCUUGCUGGACUAUAACUGACGCUGAGACUCGAAAGCGUGGGGAGCGAACAGGAUUAGAAACCCUAGUAGUCC
RNAcentral lists this ribosomal RNA (425 nucleotides) under uncultured bacterium. Its description in RNAcentral is "bacterial SSU rRNA". It matches the Rfam family "Bacterial small subunit ribosomal RNA", at positions 354 to 796 of the family's 1533-position model. The record is from RNAcentral.